CAAGUAGAAUAAAUGAUCGCGGCUGUACAGACGCAAGGGUACAGGUGAGGAAAGUCCGGGCUUCACAGGGCAGGAUGCCGGAUAACGUCCGGUGGAGGUGACUCCAAGGCUAGUGCAACAGAAAACAAACAGCUAUGCGGUACCUAAUGGGUACGUUUGGAAGCCGCUUGCGGCUUCCGUAGUUUUGCGAAACAAUGUGAAAGCAUUGUGACGCAAUACUACAUUGCAUAGUGAUGGUGGAAUGGCAGUGUAAGAGACUACCGCUGCAACGGUAACGGUGCAGGCUGUGUAAACCCCAUCCGAAGCAAGACCGAAACGAAAGCGACAGAUUGGCCCGAUCUGCUUUCAGGUGGGUCGCUCGAGAUAUCCGGUAACGGAUAUCCUAGAUAGAUGAUCAUUCACGACAUAACCCGGCUUAUCGCUCUGCUUGGUUU
Molecule: RNase P RNA, 434 nt
Filed under: Lachnospiraceae bacterium
Lineage: Bacteria; Bacillati; Bacillota; Clostridia; Lachnospirales; Lachnospiraceae
Description: RNase P RNA component class A
Rfam family: Bacterial RNase P class A
About the family: Ribonuclease P (RNase P) is a ubiquitous endoribonuclease, found in archaea, bacteria and eukarya as well as chloroplasts and mitochondria.
Source: RNAcentral